AGAAAAGAGCCGCAGUAGUUGGCAAAAAAAAAAGAAGGCACAGCUAUCUCCUUCUUCUCCGACCAAAAAUGCAUUAGCUGUUUCCACCAUUGCUUCAGCCAUAAAAGCUCCACCAAACCACCAAAAUAAGCAAAUGUAAAAGACCACAUUCUUCCCCUGUUAAACCAGCCCCAACACUAUCCCCCCUCCACCCAAAACACCACUGUUUUCUCCCAAAAACGACCUCAAAUCACCCCCAAAACCAGCUCCCUUCCACCUUAAAAGAACCCCCAAAACUGCAGCAAAACCAGCUGCGAAAUCAGACCAAAAACGAGCUGAAAAGGGAACCAAAAUCCAGCCCCAAAGAGCAGCAAAACUAGCUGCGAGACUGCUGAAAAACAGCCCCAAAACUCAGCAAAAUCAGUCACAAAAUGCAACCAAAAACAGCCCCAAGACCCAGCUAUAAAUCAACCUGAAAAUACCACAAGAAAGAACCACAAACGGGCAUAAUCUAUUUCUCUGUUCUUCGCUAGCUCGAUCGUUCACGAUUCCUUUUGAGUUUGGCGUGUUAGCUUUCGUUUGAGGUCGUCGUCAUUGGUUUUCAGGCGUGGUCCUUGUCCUUGACUCGAUUAUCGAGUUAUAGAAGUUUAAAUUUUGGAUUCCACCAAUGUAAAGGAAGAUUUACUUUUGGAGGGGAAAAAAGGCUAUAGAGCAAAAUCUUUUCUUUCGCUUGGAAAGUUCCAGCCUUCCAGGUUAUUUCGUGGUUGAGUGGUCAGUCAUCUGAUUGUACUACUUCCAGCGUCUGGCAACUCCAUACCCAGAAAUUGUCUAAGCACUCCAAAGAAAGGUGAGGAGGAGCAAUCGGACUUGAAAAUAAGCCUUUGAUCUUUUCCAGACUGAUGAGAGGCAAAUCUGUAUUCUUUAAGGGCCUUUGUUUCAUUCUGGGUUUUGGACCUUAGUUUCAUUCUUAAUUGGAUAAGAAUCUUUAAUCUGUUCUCCAGAUGGUAGAAUCUUCUACAUUUAUAUACAGGAUUUACGCGUAACUUGAGUGGAUAAGAGAAAGUUAGCCUUUGCUGAAAUGCUGAGGAGGGUAGAAGAAGGUUGCAUUGUCUCGAUAUUGAAUUACCAUCAGAAGCGUACUCUUGUGAAUGUAAAGCUAAAAUGGGUUAAAGAUAGUGUCUUGGACAGUGUAGUAGCUGGAGGCAGAGAACUAAAGGCGGGAUCUACACUAGUUUCCAUCAUUGCCUCACAAUCCAGUUCUGGUCUUCCUAUUUACCAUCUCACAACCAAGCGUGGGCAGCUUGGGCUCCCUCAUGAAUUGAAAAUCUCCACUUUCCUUAGGCGAUACCCAAAUAUUUUUGAGGAAUUUUCUUGUUGUGAUAGUGCUGGCACUCCUGUUCCGUGGUUCAAAUUAACUCCUGAAACCCUAGAGUUUCAUCAUGAAGAAGUUACUGUUCUCUGCGAGUGCAGCACGGAUAUUGUUAGUAGGCUGAGAAAGCUUUUGAUGAUGACCAAGGAGAGGAUGCUUCCUCUUCAGACAGUUGAUCAACUAAAAUGGGAUUUAGGCUUGCCACAUGAUUGUGGUAGUUCAUUGGUUAUAAAACACCCUGAGCUGUUUAAUUUGGUGGACCUUCCCGAUGGUCGUGUUGGUCUUAAGCUUUUAGCAUGGGAUCACAAAUUAGCUGUUUCCCAUUUGGAGGCAAAUUCUACAAGGGGAAAUGGGACCUUGAUGUUUCCUAUUGGAUUCACCCGGGGUUUCGGGUUAAAGAGAAAAUGCAUGGAAUGGUUGGAGGAAUGGCAAAAGCUGCCUUAUACUUCUCCUUAUGUGGAUGCCUCUCAUUUGGACCCAAGGACAGAUGUGUCAGAGAAGAGGAUUGUUGGAGUGUUUCAUGAGCUUUUGCACCUCACCUUACAAAAGAAAAUAGAGAGGAGAAACGUUAGCAAUCUCCGCAAGCCAUUUGCAUUGCCUCAGAAGUUCACAAAGGUCUUUGAGCGGCAUCCUGGGAUUUUUUACAUUUCUAUGAAGGGUGACACUCAGACUGUCGUCCUUAGAGAGGCUUAUAAUCGCAAUCAACUGAUUGAGAAGCAUCCCCUUGUUCACAUAAGGGAGAAAUUUGCGAACAUGAUGAAGCAAGGUUUUCUAGAUCGUAGUAGGGGGUUAUAUAGAGAUACUAACCAAGGCGUAGAAGAGGAGUCACUGACAAGUAGUUUUGUUGGUUAAACCUGUGGAACUAGAUAUUACUCUGGUAUAGAGACUAAGAUUCUGAUAUGCUUUUAGAACAUGAAGCAAAGUAGAUUAAGGUCCUUCAAGAAUUUAAUGUUACAAGCUGAGAUGUGAUUGGCUGUACUAUUUGAAGUUCUCAGAAACCUGUGGAACUGGAUUGGAUAUGCUUUCAGAAUACGAAUCAGAUCAGAUAGAGGUCUUUAAGAAGUUCUGUAAUUACAAGCUGAGAGGUCAAAGAAGACUCAGCCGUUUUAGAUCAAGAUGAAAGACAAUUAACUAAUGCAAUUGGAAGUUGAGGUGAGAGUGUGGAUUACUCCCUUCAUGAGCAUCGUUUCGGAGAAGCACCUGUGGAGUGCCCUUGGGUGUGUCUCAAAGAUAUGAUUGACAGUCUUUUGUUCUCUAAGAAGAAUUCAGCUGGAACUCUUGCAGCGACUGACCCUGUGGUGUUAUAAUAUAAUGGUCAUGAAUGAAUCUGGGAACAUGUGGAAAAAGAACUUUUAAGAUGUCCCUGAAAUGGACACAAUCAAAAUUAGAAUGUGUGAGACAAUUAUUUUGGCAACCAAAAUGAAAUACUGUCUGUCUCAAUUUAUGUGAUGCACUAUCCAUUUUAGUUUGUUACAAAAAGAAUGAUACAUUUUUGUAUUUAGAAACAAUUUAACUUUAAAAAAUUUCAUUUUACCCAGCCACACAAAUAUUUGUGAAUUGUUUUAGACACAAGUUUCAAAAAUCUUUCCUCCUUAGACAAUUGAAGCGCUUUACAAAUAGUGUACCUUACACUUUAAAGUGUAAUAGCAGUGUUGGAAAAACUACUUAUCUGAUGGUUACUGUAAACUGAUUUAAGAACUCUCAAUGAUCUGGUUGAUUUCAAAAUCUUAAAUAACUGCACAAGUGUUCCUCUGAAACUAUGGAUGCUUCUUACUUUACAAUUCUGAUUUUGGAGAUUGUCAUAAUUCUGCAAUCUGGUUGUAUCAUUUCUGAUUACCUCAAGGGAGUAGAGGAGCAAGAAGAAGAGGAGCGCAUUUCCUUUUGGCACUCAUUUUAAAAAUGAGUAACUAGAGAACAUGGAUUGAGUUUUGAUGCUUAAGUAUUGUUUCACUUGUAUGUAUGAGUUAUUGUAUCUGGCUUUUACGUGUUAGCUUUUCCAGCUGCUUAAAGACUAGAUAGGUUAGAUAUUGUAUCAUCUUUGGAUUACCAUCUGUAAUCAGAAAUGAGAGGGACUAGAUUACCAUCACUUUAUUGUUCCGUGCAUUUCUAACAACCAAGACAAGAGGCUAGUUGCAGAUUACAAACACUAUAUUCCUUAUUAGUUUUGCAGGCCAGAGGAUAGCAGAUAGCCUUGCCCAUGCCGGUGCUCCUCCCCUGGGUGACAUGUCGAUGGCAUUCGUAUCCACCCAUAUUUAUGCCAAGGACAUUUCUGGAUACCAUUUAAAACAGAGAGAGCUGCAUUCAACGUUGAAUCAUGAGUUUUCAUGAGUCGGAACUCACAAUCUGGCUGUUCGUUCAGUUUCUGGCAGCUUUCUCAACUCACUAUUCCAUUUUCCUAGCACUCAACAUUUCCAUUGCUUUAGGUGUUUGCUUUUUCUUUUCAAGUGAGCUACAUUUUCUCUGAUAAGCCUCUAUGCUACUGAAGUAAAAUUGUCACACCAGGUUUUAUCUUCUCUCAGUUGUGGGUCUAUUUUCUCCAACUUCGAUAUUAGGCUUGAAAAUGUACAUUUGCAAAAGGCAUCAACUUUGCAGUUUGAUUUGUUUUAUUUCCAUGGUGGAAUGAACAGUAUCUCGUUAAAGUAUGUGUUGAUUUGUGA
Molecule: non-coding RNA, 4005 nt
Organism: Nicotiana tabacum (common tobacco)
Lineage: Eukaryota; Viridiplantae; Streptophyta; Magnoliopsida; Solanales; Solanaceae
Source: RefSeq, a predicted model, not a curated record